ACUUUUCACCUUCAAGGCUUAGUCACUGUUAGGGUUUUACUCCUUAGCUAUUAGGGCAUACAUUGAACUCCUCUUUUCAAUUUUAGCUCAAAUCAUCAUCAACUCAUCUUAAUCUGGGUUCAACUUCCCAACAUCCAGACCACGCCUAGAUCGGUUCGGGAUCUCCAGUUCAACAGAAUCAGUGUCUCCAAAAUGACAUUAUCAUGUAUACUAAGCAUGAUGAUCUCGUUUCGGUUGAUAUGACAACAAGAAUGAAAAAGAAGUUGGAUAAAUAUUGGGGUGAUCGAAUUCUUGAUAGUUAUCGAAGUUCUUUAUCUCCAAAGACGUUAGAAGCGCUUAUUUGCACUGAACAAUGGCUACGACCACCUUCAAAAGAGUGCAAGCUUGAAGAUAUUUUAGAGGAAGUCCAGAAAAUUUAGGAAAUUGAAGAAGAAUAUCCUCACUCACCUUUGAGGAUUGAUUAGCCAGUUGAUAUACUUUGUUUUCACUAUAUGGAACAAAG
Long non-coding RNA from Solanum pennellii, 502 nucleotides. RefSeq lists it as uncharacterized. Lineage: Eukaryota; Viridiplantae; Streptophyta; Magnoliopsida; Solanales; Solanaceae. The record is from RefSeq and is a predicted model, not a curated record. The transcript has 5 exons.